GUUUUUUUGCUGUAGAGUUGCCCUUUUACUUGAUAAGUAGAAAUAAGAAAAAAGGGAGCGAGCUUUCACAACUGAAAAACCUCAAUAACAAACAAGGACUCAACCUAUGGUACAUCCGCAGAAGACUAUUUCCGUUCAGAAACAAGUAAAAGUUAAAUAAUUAAAACAUUGGGAAAAGCCAUCUUUAGUAAAGCAUUUACUAACCGUUUCUAUGAGUUUCAUUAAGUAUUUCCAACCCUUUGUUUCGCCUUCUUCUUAUCCUAUCCUCGUUGCUGGCUGUCCAAAACUCCGUCAAACUUGUAAAGAUGUUGACAUCAGUCGAGUUAAAACCAUCGAAUUUCAAAAUUUAAUUUCCAAAAUGGUGCACACUUUGAGAAAACACAAAGCUUGCGGGCUAUCCGCUCCUCAAAUCGGUUUAAAUAUAAAUUUGUUUGUAAUGGAAAUUCAAAGUAAUUUAUUUCAUGGGAAAAGUCGUUAUUAUGAAAACAUUCCAACGACUAUAUGCAUCAACGCCACACUAGAUCCCAUUUUAAACACUUUUUCUAACAAAACUAUAGAAAAGGAAAUUCUCAAUAAUAAAAUUAAAGAUUUUUUAAAUAAUAAUCAUCUUGAGAUCUCUCUUGAUUCUAAUUAUUGCCUGCGGCGGGAGAUGUGCUUGAGUUUGCCGAACUGCUCCGCCGUCGUUCCUCGCUAUAAUAAAGUUUUACUAAAAUAUACAGAUGAAGAUUUGAAUGCUCGUGAAUGGAAGGCCAGCGGCUUAACUGCUCGAAUAAUUCAACAUGAAUACGAUCAUCUCAAAGGAAAACUUUUUAUAGACAAAAUGUGCUCUACAACUUUUGCUUUUGAUUCCGAAAUUGAAAACCGUU
Zophobas morio is the source of this 866-nucleotide long non-coding RNA. RefSeq lists it as uncharacterized. The transcript is spliced from 5 exons. The record is from RefSeq and is a predicted model, not a curated record. Lineage: Eukaryota; Metazoa; Arthropoda; Insecta; Coleoptera; Tenebrionidae.